RNAcentral lists this transfer RNA (65 nucleotides) under Abronia graminea. Its description in RNAcentral is "tRNA-Glu". Lineage: Eukaryota; Metazoa; Chordata; Lepidosauria; Squamata; Anguidae. The record is from RNAcentral.
GUUUUUAUAGUUGAAUAACAACGGGGGUUUUUCAGACCUCAAGUUCUGGUAUACCAGAUAAGAAU